AGCGUGCACGGUGGAUGCCUUGGCAGCCAGAGGCGAUGAAGGACGUUGUAGCCUGCGAUAAGCUCCGGUUAGGUGGCAAACAACCGUUUGACCCGGAGAUCUCCGAAUGGGGCAACCCACCCGUUGUAAGGCGGGUAUCACCGACUGAAUCCAUAGGUCGGUGAGGCGAACGCGGGGAACUGAAACAUCUAAGUACCCGUAGGAACAGAAAUCAAUUGAGAUUCCCUGAGUAGCGGCGAGCGAACGGGGAUUAGCCCUUAAGCUGAUGACGGAUUAGGAGAACGGUCUGGGAAGGCCGACCAUAGUGGGUGAUAGUCCCGUAUCCGAAAAUCUGAUUCAGUGAAAACGAGUAGGUCGGGGCACGUGUAACCUUGACUGAACAUGGGGGGACCAUCCUCCAAGGCUAAAUACUCCUGGCUGACCGAUAGUGAACCAGUACCGUGAGGGAAAGGCGAAAAGAACCCCGGAGAGGGGAGUGAAAUAGAUCCUGAAACCGUGCACGUACAAGCAGUCGGAGCCCGCUUUGUUGGGUGACGGCGUACCUUUUGUAUAAUGGGUCAGCGACUUAUUCUCAGUAGCGAGGUUAACCAUCUAGGGGAGCCGUAGGGAAACCGAGUCUGAAUAGGGCGUUUAGUUGCUGGGAAUAGACCCGAAACCGGACGAUCUACCCAUGGCCAGAGUGAAGGUGCGGUAACACGCACUGGAGGCUCGAACCCAAGUAUGUUGAAAAAUGCUGGGAUGAGCUGUGGGUCGGAGUGAAAGGCUAAUCAAGUCCGGAGAUAGCUGGUUCUCCCCGAAAGCUAUUUAGGUAGCGCCUCGUAUAUCACCACCGGGGGUAGAGCACUGUUUCGGCUAGGGGCCCAUCCCGGGUUACCAAACCGAUGCAAACUCCGAAUACCGGUGAGUGCAGUACGGGAGACACACGGCGGGUGCUAACGUCCGUCGUGGAGAGGGAAACAACCCAGACCGCCAGCUAAGGUCCCCAAAUUCCAGUUAAGUGGGAAACGAUGUGGGAAGGCUUAGACAGCUAGGAGGUUGGCUUAGAAGCAGCCAUCCUUUAAAGAAAGCGUAAUAGCUCACUAGUCGAGUCGGCCUGCGCGGAAGAUGUAACGGGGCUCAAACUGGAUACCGAAGCUGCGGCAGUGUGCUUAGGCAUACUGGGUAGGGGAGCGUUGUGUAAGUCUGUGAAGGUGUGUUGAGAAGCAUGCUGGAGAUAUCACAAGUGCGAAUGCUGACGUGAGUAACGAUAAUGCGGGUGAAAAACCCGCACGCCGAAAGACCAAGGUUUCCUGCGCAACGCUAAUCGGCGCAGGGUGAGUCGGCCCCUAAGGCGAGGCUGAAAGGCGUAGCUGAUGGGAAACGGGUUAAUAUUCCCGUACUUCUUGUAACUGCGAUGGAGAGACGGAGAAGGCUAGGCCUACCGGGCGUUGGUUGUCCCGGGGAAAGACCGUAGGCUGGGAUCUUAGGCAAAUCCGGGAUCCUAAGGCUGAGAGUCGAGACCACCGGCCCUUUGCGGCUGGGAAGUGGUUGAUGCCCUGCUUCCAGGAAAAUCUUCUAAGCUUCAGGUUACAAGGAACCGUACCCCAAACCGACACAGGUGGUUGGGAUGAGUAUUCUAAGGCGCUUGAGAGAACUCGGGUGAAGGAACUAGGCAAAGUGGUACCGUAACUUCGGGAGAAGGUACGCCACUUGGUGUGAAGGGCUUGCCCCGUAAGCACCGAGUGGUCGCAGUGAAAAGGCCCCUGCAACUGUUUAUUAAAAACACAGCACUCUGCAAACGCGUAAGCGGACGUAUAGGGUGUGACGCCUGCCCGGUGCCGGAAGGUUAAUUGAUGGGGUUAGCUUCGGCGAAGCUCUUGAUCGAAGCCCCGGUAAACGGCGGCCGUAACAAUAACGGUCCUAAGGUAGCGAAAUUCCUUGUCGGGUAAGUUCCGACCCGCACGAAAGGUGUAACGAUCUGCGUACUGUCUCGGAGAGAGACUCGGCGAAAUAGACUUGUCUGUGAAGAUGCGGACUACCUGCACCUGGACAAAAAGACCCUAUGAAGCUUUACUGUAGCUUGAGAUUGGCUCCGGGCUUUAUUUGCGCAGGAUAGGUGGGAGGCGUUGAAGAUUUCCUUGCGGGGGAAUUUGAGCCAUUGGUGAGAUACCACUCUAAUAAAGCUAGGAUUCUAACCCUAUACCGUUAUCCGGUUAGGGAACAGUCUCAGGUGGUCAGUUUGACUGGGGCGGUCGCCUCCUAAAAGGUAACGGAGGCGUGCAAAGGUUUCCUCAGACUGGUCGGAAAUCAGUCGAAGAGUGUAAAGGCAUAAGGAAGCUUGAUUGUGAGACCUACAAGUCGAACAAAGACGAAAGUCGGCCUUAGUGAUCCGGCGGUACCAAGUGGAAGGGCCGUCGCUCAACGGAUAAAAGUUACUCUAGGGAUAACAGGCUGAUCUCCCCCAAGAGUUCAUAUCGACGGGGAGGUUUGGCACCUCGAUGUCGGCUCGUCGCAUCCUGGGGCGGUAGUACGUCCCAAGGGUUGGGCUGUUCGCCCAUGAAAGCGGCACGCGAGCUGGGUUCAGAACGUCGUGAGACAGUUCGGUCCAUAUCCGGUGUAGGCGUUAGAGUAUUGAGAGGAUCUCUUCUUAGUACGAGAGGACCGGGAGAGACGUACCUCUGGUGUGCCAGUUAUCGUGCCAACGGUAGACGCUGGGUAGCCAUGUACGGUAAGGAUAACCGCUGAAAGCAUCUAAGUGGGAAGCCCACCUCAAGAUGAGUACUCUUACCAUUUAAAAUGGUUAAGGUCACGGCAAGACUAGCCGUUUGAUAGGUAUCAGGUGUAAGUGCAGUAAUGUAUUUAGCUGAGAUAUACUAAUAGACCGAUGGCUUU
Molecule: ribosomal RNA, 2871 nt
Filed under: uncultured Isochrysis
Lineage: Eukaryota; Haptophyta; Isochrysidales
Description: partial Bacterial large subunit ribosomal RNA
Rfam family: Bacterial large subunit ribosomal RNA
Source: RNAcentral